GGCACUUUAAUGAGACUGCCGGUGACAAACCGGAGGAAGGUGGGGAUGACGUCAAGUCCUCAUGGCCCUUAUGGGUAGGGCUUCACACGUCAUACAAUGGUCGGUACAGAGGGUCGCUAACCCGCGAGGGGGUGCCAAUCUCAGAAAGCCGAUCGUAGUCCGGAUCGUAGUCUGCAACUCGACUACGUGAAGUCGGAAUCGCUAGUAAUCGCGGAUCAGAAUGCCGCGGUGAAUACGUUCCCGGGUCUUGUACACACCGCCCGUCACACCAUGGGAGUGGGUUUCACCAGAAGUAGCUAGCCUAACCGUAAGGGGGGCGGUUACCACGGUGAGAUUCAUGACUGGGGUGAAGUCGUAACAAGGUAGCCGUACCGGAAGG
Molecule: ribosomal RNA, 379 nt
Filed under: uncultured bacterium
Lineage: Bacteria
Description: bacterial SSU rRNA
Rfam family: Bacterial small subunit ribosomal RNA
Source: RNAcentral